UUCAAGCUUGUCUCUCGAAGAACAACUUUCUCCCGCAAAAGUGCCUUAAAGUAAUUAAAUUGCUGGACUCCUGCUGCUCAAGAUGUGAUUAUAAUUCAACUCACUGUGCUUCGCUCUCUGGACUAUUGAAGCAAAAUUCCAAAUUACAAGACUCGGCCAAGUAAUUGGAUAAGUAGUUGAGGAUACAACGACUUAUUUCUAGUCAAGACUAUUGUUUCUAUUUUGAGUGUGUUUUUUUUUCUUUGAUAAUGAUACAAUUUAGAUUAGGGAGGUACACCCUCCAUGUAAAUGUAGAGAGAAUCACCAACCUCGAAUAACAGUGGAAUUCACAUAUACUUACCAAUUGUAGAAUUUGAAAAUCGACUGAUGAAGAAGCUUCUGUUAUUCUUGAAACUCAAUUGGGUUCAAAAAAUAUGAGAUACCAAGAAGCAUGAGCUGAUACAGAGAAUCUAGAACAAUUCGCGUCUUCCAAACAACAGCUGAAUAAAUAUAACUAAAUAGCUAGAAAUGUUGGGCAACCUUGUCACACCCAUUCUAAGGGUGCCCCCUCCGUAGGCCUCUAGUGUAAUCGUUUUAAAUAAUUGUUAUGUUUCAUUUCUUUCUU
RNA transcript from Trifolium pratense (red clover), 604 nucleotides. It is a transcript of the gene named cx9C motif-containing protein 4-like, with no coding region annotated. The record is from RefSeq and is a predicted model, not a curated record. NCBI's taxonomy places the organism in Eukaryota, Viridiplantae, Streptophyta, Magnoliopsida, Fabales, Fabaceae. The transcript is spliced from 3 exons.